Molecule: ribosomal RNA, 663 nt
Filed under: uncultured bacterium
Lineage: Bacteria
Description: bacterial SSU rRNA
Rfam family: Bacterial small subunit ribosomal RNA
Source: RNAcentral
AGUUUGAUCCUGGCUCAGGAUGAACGCUGGCGGUCUGCUUAACACAUGCAAGUCGAACGGGCUCUUCGGAGCUAGUGGCGGACGGGUGAGUAACGCGUGAGGAUCUGCCCUUAGGACGGGGACAACAGUUGGAAACGACUGCUAAUACCCGAUGUGCCGAGAGGUGAAACUAUUUGGCCUGAGGAUGAGCUCGCGUCUGAUUAGCUAGUUGGAGUGGUAACGGCACACCAAGGCGACGAUCAGUAGCUGGUCUGAGAGGAUGAUCAGCCACACUGGGACUGAGACACGGCCCAGACUCCUACGGGAGGCAGCAGUGGGGAAUUUUCCGCAAUGGGCGAAAGCCUGACGGAGCAAGACCGCGUGCGGGAGGAAGGUCUAUUGACUGUAAACCGCUUUUGAUAGGGAAGAAGAUCUGACGGUACCUAUCGAAUCAGCAUCGGCUAACUCCGUGCCAGCAGCCGCGGUAAUACGGGGGAUGCAAGCGUUAUCCGGAAUUAUUGGGCGUAAAGCGUCCGUAGGUGGUUUUAUAAGUCUGUUGUCAAAGCGCGAGGCUUAACCUCGUACAGGCAGUGGAAACUAUAAGACUAGAGUGCGGUAGGGGUAGAGGGAAUUUCCAGUGUAGCGGUGAAAUGCGUAGAUAUUGGAAAGAACACCGGUGGCGAA